RNAcentral lists this ribosomal RNA (207 nucleotides) under uncultured bacterium. RNAcentral describes it as "partial 16S ribosomal RNA". It matches the Rfam family "Bacterial small subunit ribosomal RNA", at positions 568 to 774 of the family's 1533-position model. The record is from RNAcentral.
CGUCUAGGCGGGGAAUUAAGUUAGGUGUGAAAUCCAUGGGCUCAACUCGUGAAUUGCAUCUAAAACUGAUUCUCUUGAGUUCGGGAGAGGAGAGCGGAAUUCCCGGUGUAGCGGUGAAAUGCGUAGAUAUCGGGAAGAACACCAGUGGCGAAGGCGGCUCUCUGGCCUAGAACUGACGCUGAAGCGCGAAAGCGUGGGGAGCGAACG